UCGGACGGCCCAGAUGCGUCCUCGCGCGCACGGACGGCCCAGAUCAAGCAUGCGCACGGACGGCCCAGAUGCACGCGCACGGACGGCCCAGAUGCACGCACACGGAUGGCCUAGAUUCAAUCAAGUACGGACGGUCCAGAUUUAAUCGCGAUGGACGGUCCAGAUUUAAUCCAAAUUAAAUCGCGAUCGAACGACCCAGAUUAAAUCAAGAUGGACGGCUGUGAUUAAAAGGCAAAGGAUAUAAAUAAACCCCCC
This 255-nucleotide long non-coding RNA is filed under the name Carica papaya (papaya). Its description in RNAcentral is "long non-coding RNA (CPAP_LNC002963)". The record is from RNAcentral. Lineage: Eukaryota; Viridiplantae; Streptophyta; Magnoliopsida; Brassicales; Caricaceae.